Molecule: long non-coding RNA, 1629 nt
Organism: Symphalangus syndactylus (siamang)
Lineage: Eukaryota; Metazoa; Chordata; Mammalia; Primates; Hylobatidae
Source: RefSeq, a predicted model, not a curated record
CUCAGUUCCCUGACUAAGCCAGACUGCUUCUGAAGAUCCAAGGAGCAUCUGGAUUCAUUCAGUCUGCAUACUACUGGAACAACCAUGCAUUUGAAAGCCAUACAGACCCAGAUUUGAAUUCUGGCCUGCUACUCAAUUGUGCGAUACGGGCAUGCGUUGCCAUUCCUACAAACUCUGGCCUGCCUCCUCAUCUGUAAUAAUCUGGUACAAUAAGCUGGGACGAGGUAUUGGAGUGCUAAGCUCAUGAUCUCCCCACUACUCCUACCUUCAUACAACAAGCCUUCCUAAAGAAGACCUAAAUCUUCUACUCAUGCUGUUUCCUCUUAAAAUCUCUAUAGCAGCAUUUAGUACAUCGUAUUUCUAUUCUCGUGUCUCAAGGGUAAGCAUUUCCAUUUCAUAGGCAUCAAACAGUGCCUGCUGCAGAACGUGUUCAUUGAAUCAUACCCUCCAUCUAUCCAGCCUGCAUUUCCUCAUUGUGUACCCCUAGAUUCUCUAGGAGCCAUGGUUUAGGAUGCCUGACCAGCCCUUCCUUCCUCCUCAUAUGCGUUAGUUUCCUGGGGCUGCUGUAACAAGUCACCACAAACCGAGGGGCUUAAAACAACAGAAAUGUGCGCUCUCACAGUUGUGAACGACAGAGGUCCAUAAUCUGUGUCACUGGGCAAAAAUCAAGGUGUCCAUAGGUGUGAGUUUCCUCCAGAGGCUCCAGGGGAGAAUUCUUCCUUGCUGAUUUCAGCUUCUGGGGGCCCCUGGCAUUCCUUGGCUUCUAACACUAUCACUCCAAUCUCUGCCUCCUUCGUCACUUUGCCUUGUCAUGUGCGUGUGUGUGUGUGUGUGUGUGUGUGUGUGCGCGCGCAUCAAUUCUCCCUCUACCUUUCUCAUAUAAAGACAUGUAUCCAGCCAGGCACUGUGGCUCCCACCUGUAAUCCCAGCACUUUGGGAGGCCAAGGUGGAUGGAUCACGAGAUCAGGAGUUCGAGACUAGCCUGGACAACAUGGAGAAACCCCGUCUCUACUGAAAAUACAAAAAUUAGCUGGGCGUGGUGGUGUGCAUCUGUAAUCCCAGCUACUCAGGAGGCUGAGGCAGGAGAAUCACUUGAACCUGGGAGGCGGAGUUUGCAGUGAGCUGAGACCACGCCAUUGCACUCCAGCCUGGGUGACAUAGCAAGACUCUGUCCCCUACCCCCCCGCCCCUGCAAAAAAAAAAAAAAAAAAAAAAAAAGACAUCUGUCCUCACUUAGAACCUGGGGAUAACCCAGAAUAACCUACCCAUGGCAAGAUCCUUGAUAUGGCCUGGAUGUUUGUCCCAACCAAAUCUAACAUUGAAAUGUUAUCCCCAAUGUUGGAGGUGGGGCCUACUGGGAGGUACUUGGGUCAUGAGUGUGGAUCCCUCAUAAAUGGCUUGGUGCCCUCCCUGAAGUAAUAAGCUAAGGCAAGAGCUGGUUGUUGAAAAGAACAUAGCAUCUCACUUGCUCCUUCUCUCAUCUUGUGACAUGCCUGCUUCCCCUUUGCCUCCUGCCAUGAUUGGAAGCUUCCUGAGGCCCUCACCAGAAGCAGAUGCUAGAACAAUACUUACUGUAGCUUACUGUACAGUCUGCAGAACCAUGAGCCAAAUAAACCUCUUUUUAAAAAU